AUAACGACUCUCGGCAACGGAUAUCUCGGCUCUCGCAUCGAUGAAGAACGUAGCGAAAUGCGAUACUUGGUGUGAAUUGCAGAAUCCCGUGAACCAUCGAGUCUUUGAACGCAAGUUGCGCCCGAAGCCUUUAGGCAGAGGGCACGUCUGCCUGGGUGUCACG
This 163-nucleotide ribosomal RNA is filed under the name Elattostachys apetala. Its description in RNAcentral is "5.8S ribosomal RNA". It matches the Rfam family "5.8S ribosomal RNA". Rfam says of the family: 5.8S ribosomal RNA (5.8S rRNA) is a component of the large subunit of the eukaryotic ribosome. Lineage: Eukaryota; Viridiplantae; Streptophyta; Magnoliopsida; Sapindales; Sapindaceae. RNAcentral also lists the same sequence under 1 other name. The record is from RNAcentral.